RNAcentral lists this ribosomal RNA (253 nucleotides) under uncultured bacterium. RNAcentral describes it as "partial 16S ribosomal RNA". It matches the Rfam family "Bacterial small subunit ribosomal RNA", at positions 524 to 776 of the family's 1533-position model. The record is from RNAcentral.
UACGGGGGGGGCAAGCGUUGUUCGGAAUUACUGGGCGUAAAGGGCUCGUAGGUGGCCAACUAAGUCAGACGUGAAAUCCCUCGGCUUAACCGGGGAACUGCGUCUGAUACUGGAUGGCUUGAGUUCGGGAGAGGGAUGCGGAGUUCCAGGUGUAGCGGUGAAAUGCGUAGAUAUCUGGAGGAACACCGGUGGCGAAGGCGGCAUCCUGGACCGACACUGACGCUGAGGAGCGAAAGCCAGGGGAGCAAACGGG